AUGAUGAAUGGUGGCAAGCCAGGCAGGUUACACCAGAUGGUGAGAGCGAUGAGGUCGGAGUGAUUCCCAGUAAACGCAGAGUUGAGAAGAAAGAACGAGCCCGAUUAAAAACAGUGAAAUUCAAUUCUAAAACGAGAGAUAAAGGGCAGUCAUUCAAUGACAAGCGUAAAAAGAACCUCUUUUCCCGAAAAUUCCCCUUCUACAAGAACAAGGACCAGAGUGAGCAGGAAACAAGUGAUGCUGACCGUAAAGCAUGUAACUUCUAAUGCCAGCGAUAGUGAAAGUAGUUACCGUGGUCAAGAAGAAUACGUCUUAUCUUAUGAACCAGUGAAUCAACAAGAAGUUAAUUAUACUCGACCAGUGAUCAUAUUGGGACCUAUGAAAGACAGGAUAAAUGAUGACUUGAUCUCAGAAUUUCCUGACAAAUUUGGAUCCUGUGUUCCU
This 444-nucleotide long non-coding RNA is filed under the name Homo sapiens (human). Its description in RNAcentral is "HSALNT0067501". Lineage: Eukaryota; Metazoa; Chordata; Mammalia; Primates; Hominidae. The record is from RNAcentral.